This 787-nucleotide ribosomal RNA is filed under the name uncultured archaeon. Its description in RNAcentral is "bacterial SSU rRNA". It matches the Rfam family "Archaeal small subunit ribosomal RNA", at positions 169 to 1225 of the family's 1478-position model. The record is from RNAcentral.
ACCAGAAUGCUAAGGGUAAUGCUCUUUGGUUUUCGCCCAAGGAAUGGGGCCGCCGACCGAUCCAGGUUUGUUGGUNAGGUAANUGGCUCACCAAAGCCUUUUUACCGGUUNCGGCCCGUUGGAAGCGGAAGCCCGGAAGAUGGGCACUUGAGACCAAGGGCCCAGGCCNUACGGGGGCGCAGCAGUCGCGAAAACUUUGCAAUAAGCGAAAGCUUGACAGGGCUAUCCCGAGUGCCAUCCGCUGAGGAAGGCUUUUACCCAGUCUAGAACGCUGGGGGAAUAAGGAGAGGGCAAGUCUGGUGUCAGCCGCCGCGGUAAUACCAGCUCUCCGAGUGGUGUGGAUGUUUAUUGGGCCUAAAGCAUCCGUAGCUGGCUAAGUUAGUCCCCUGUUAAAUCCACCGAAUUAAUCGUUGGAUCGCGGGGGAUACUGCUUAGCUAGGGGACGAGAGAGGCAGACGGUAUUUCCGGGGUAGGGGUGAAAUCCUAUAAUCCCGGGAAGACCACCAGUGGCGAAGGCUGUCUGCUAGAACGCGCCCGACGGUGAGGGAUGAAAGCUGGGGGAGCGAACCGGAUUAGAUACCCGGGUAGUCCCAGCUGUAAACGAUGCAGACUAGGUGUUUGGACGGCCACGUGCCGUUCUAGUGCCGCAGGGAAGCUGUUAAGUCUGCCGCCUGAGGAGUACGAUCGCAAGAUUGAAACUUAAAGGAAUUGGCGGGGGAGCACAAGGGCGAAUUCCAGCACACUGGCGGCCGUUACUAGUGGAUCCGAGCUCGGUACCAAGCUUGGC